This 422-nucleotide ribosomal RNA is filed under the name uncultured Chitinophagaceae bacterium. RNAcentral describes it as "bacterial SSU rRNA". It matches the Rfam family "Bacterial small subunit ribosomal RNA", at positions 353 to 772 of the family's 1533-position model. The record is from RNAcentral. Lineage: Bacteria; Pseudomonadati; Bacteroidota; Chitinophagia; Chitinophagales; Chitinophagaceae.
AGUAAGGAAUAUUGGUCAAUGGACGCAAGUCUGAACCAGCCAUGCCGCGUGGAGGAUGAAGGUCCUCUGGAUUGUAAACUUCUUUUAUCUGGGACGAAACACUCCUUUUCUAAGGGGCCUGACGGUACCAGAUGAAUAAGCACCGGCUAACUCCGUGCCAGCAGCCGCGGUAAUACGGAGGGUGCAAGCGUUAUCCGGAUUCACUGGGUUUAAAGGGUGCGUAGGUGGAUAUGUAAGUCAGAGGUGAAAUCCCCGAGCUUAACUUGGGAACUGCCUUUGAUACUAUAUAUCUUGAAUGUCGUAGAGGUUAGCGGAAUAUGUCAUGUAGCGGUGAAAUGCUUAGAUAUGACAUAGAACACCAAUUGCGAAGGCAGCUAGCUAUGCGAUUAUUGACACUGAGGCACGAAAGCGUGGGUAGCAAA